CGUGAGGGAGGAGGCUCUUGGGUUGUAAACCUCAAAACUUAGGGAAGAAAAAAAUGACGGUACCUAAUGUAAGCAUCGGCUAACUCCGUGCCAGCAGCCGCGGUAAUACGGAGGAUGCAAGCGUUAUCCGGAAUCAUUGGGCGUAAAGAGUCCGUAGGUGGCACUUCAAGUCUGCUUUCAAAGACCGAAGCUCAACUUCGGAAAGGGAGUGGAAACUGAAGAGCUAGAGUAUAGUAGGGGUAGAGGGAAUUCCUAGUGUAGCGGUGAAAUGCGUAGAGAUUAGGAAGAACACCAGUGGCGAAGGCGCUCUACUGGGCAUAUACUGACACUGAGGGACGAAAGCUAGGGGAGCGAAAGGGAUUA
Molecule: ribosomal RNA, 363 nt
Filed under: Cyanobacterium aponinum ALU PBC4
Lineage: Bacteria; Bacillati; Cyanobacteriota; Cyanophyceae; Chroococcales; Geminocystaceae
Description: bacterial SSU rRNA
Rfam family: Bacterial small subunit ribosomal RNA
Source: RNAcentral